This 245-nucleotide ribosomal RNA is filed under the name uncultured bacterium. RNAcentral describes it as "partial 16S ribosomal RNA". It matches the Rfam family "Bacterial small subunit ribosomal RNA", at positions 524 to 769 of the family's 1533-position model. The record is from RNAcentral.
UACAGAGGGUGCGAGCGUUGUUCGGAAUUACUGGGCGUAAAGCGUGCGCAGGCGGUUGUGUAAGACAGAUGUGAAAUCCCCGGGCUCAACCUGGGAACUGCAUUUGUGACUGCACGGCUGGAGUGUGGCAGAGGGGGAUGGAAUUCCGGCGUGUAGCAGUGAAAUGCGUAGAUAUGCGGAGGAACACCGAUGGCGAAGGCAACUCCCUGGCCGCACUGACGCUCAUGCACGAAAGCGUGGGGAGC